This 447-nucleotide ribosomal RNA is filed under the name uncultured bacterium. RNAcentral's name for it is "partial 16S ribosomal RNA". It matches the Rfam family "Bacterial small subunit ribosomal RNA", at positions 29 to 523 of the family's 1533-position model. The record is from RNAcentral.
AACGAACGCUGGCGGCAGGCCUAAAACAUGCAAGUCGAACGCCCCGCAAGGGGAGUGGCGCACGGGUGAGUAACGCGUGGGAACGUGCCCUUCACUACGGGACAACGUCGGGAAACUGACGCUAAUACCGUAUAAUGACUCCGGUCCAAAGAUUUAUCGGUGAAGGAGCGGCCCGCGUCUGAUUAGCUAGUUGGUGAGGUAAUGGCUCACCAAGGCUACGAUCAGUAGCAGGUCUGAGAGGAUGAUCUGCCACACUGGGACUGAGACACGGCCCAGACUCCUACGGGAGGCAGCAGUUAGGAAUAUUGGACAAUGGGCGAAAGCCUGAUCCAGCCAUGCCGCGUGUGUGAUGAAGGCCCUAGGGUUGUAAAGCACUUUCGUUGAGGAAGAUAAUGACUGUACUCAAAGAAGAAGCACCGGCUAACUUCGUGCCAGCAGCCGCCGUAA